RNAcentral lists this ribosomal RNA (117 nucleotides) under Clostridium sp. The record is from RNAcentral. Lineage: Bacteria; Bacillati; Bacillota; Clostridia; Eubacteriales; Clostridiaceae.
UCUGGUAAGUAUAUCUUGAAGGAAACACCCGUUACCAUGUCGAACACGAAGGUUAAGCUUCAAAGAGCUGAGAGUACUGCACGGGAAGCUGUGUGGGAGGGUAAGUUAUUGCCAGGU